CCCGCUGAACUUAAGCAUAUCAAUAAGCGGAGGAAAAGAAACUAACAAGGAUUCCCCUAGUAACUGCGAGUGAAGCGGGAAGAGCUCAAAUUUGAAAUCUGGCGGCUUCGCCGUCCGAGUUGUAUUCUGGAGAAGCGUUUUCCGUGCUGGACCGUGUACAAGUCCCUUGGAACAGGGCGUCGUAGAGGGUGAGAAUCCCGUCUUUGACACGGACUGCCAGUGCUCUGUGAUGCGCUCUCGAAGAGUCGAGUUGUUUGGGAAUGCAGCUCAAAUAGGGUGGUAAAUUCCAUCUAAAGCUAAAUACAGGCGAGAGACCGAUAGCGAACAAGUACCGUGAGGGAAAGAUGAAAAGAACUUUGGAAAGAGAGUUAAACAGUACGUGAAAUUGCUGAAAGGGAAACGCUUGAUGUCAGUCGCGUCGUCCGGGGAUCAGCCUUGCUCUUUUGCUCGGUGUAUUUCCUGGUCGACGGGUCAGCAUCGGUUUCGACCGUCGGAAAAUGGCUCGAGGAAUGUGGCACCCUUCGGGGUGUGUUAUAGACUCGGGUCGAAUACGGCGAUUGGGACCGAGGAACUCAGCACGACCUUAGGGUUCGGGGCUUCGGCCCACGUCAACGUGCUUAGGAUGCUGGCAUAAUGGCCUUAAGCGACCCGUCUUGAAACACGG
RNAcentral lists this ribosomal RNA (664 nucleotides) under uncultured fungus. RNAcentral's name for it is "eukaryotic LSU rRNA". It matches the Rfam family "Eukaryotic large subunit ribosomal RNA", at positions 24 to 664 of the family's 3401-position model. The record is from RNAcentral. Lineage: Eukaryota; Fungi.